AACGAACGCUGGCGGCAGGCCUAACACAUGCAAGUCGAGCGAGACCUUCGGGUCUAGCGGCGGACGGGUGAGUAACGCGUGGGAACGUGCCCUUCUCUGCAGGAUAGCCACUGGAAACGGUGAGUAAUACUGCAUACGCCCUUCGGGGGAAAGAAUUUCGGGGAAGGAUCGGCCCGCGUUGGAUUAGGUAGUUGGUGGGGUAAUGGCCUACCAAGCCGACGAUCCAUAGCUGGUUUGAGAGGAUGAUCAGCCACACUGGGACUGAGACACGGCCCAGACUCCUACGGGAGGCAGCAGUGGGGAAUCUUAGACAAUGGGGCAACCCUGAUCUAGCCAUGCCGCGUGAGUGACGAAGGCCCUAGGGUCGUAAAGCUCUUUCGCCAGGGAUGAUAAUGACAGUACCUGGUAAAGAAACCCCGGCUAACUCCGUGCCAGCAGCCGCGGUAAU
This 448-nucleotide ribosomal RNA is filed under the name uncultured bacterium. Its description in RNAcentral is "bacterial SSU rRNA". It matches the Rfam family "Bacterial small subunit ribosomal RNA", at positions 29 to 524 of the family's 1533-position model. The record is from RNAcentral.